Molecule: ribosomal RNA, 253 nt
Filed under: uncultured bacterium
Lineage: Bacteria
Description: partial 16S ribosomal RNA
Rfam family: Bacterial small subunit ribosomal RNA
Source: RNAcentral
UACGUAGGACCCAAGCGUUGUCCGGAUUUACUGGGUGUAAAGGGUGCGUAGGCGGAUUUGUGCGUCAGAGGUUAAAGACCCCGGCUUAACCGGGGAAGUGCCUUUGAUACGGCAGGUCUUGAGUGCGAGCGAGGAUGGUAGAAUUCCUGGUGUAGCGGUGAAAUGCGUAGAUAUCAGGAGGAAUACCCGUGGCGAAGGCGGCCAUCUGACUCGAUACUGACGCUCAGGCACGAAAGCGUGGGGAGCAAACAGG